Molecule: ribosomal RNA, 492 nt
Filed under: uncultured bacterium
Lineage: Bacteria
Description: partial 16S ribosomal RNA
Rfam family: Bacterial small subunit ribosomal RNA
Source: RNAcentral
AGUGAACGCUGGCGGUAGGCCUAACACAUGCAAGUCGAACGGCAGCACAGUAAGAGCUUGCUCUUACGGGUGGCGAGUGGCGGACGGGUGAGGAAUACAUCUGAAUCUACUUUUUCGUGGGGGAUAACGUAGGGAAACUUACGCUAAUACCGCAUACGACCUACGGGUGAAAGCAGGGGAUCUUCGGACCUUGCGCGAUUGAAUGAGCCGAUGUCGGAUUAGCUAGUUGGCGGGGUAAAGGCCCACCAAGGCGACGAUCCGUAGCUGGUCUGAGAGGAUGAUCAGCCACACUGGAACUGAGACACGGUCCAGACCCCUACGGGAGGCAGCAGUGGGGAAUAUUGGACAAUGGGCGCAAGCCUGAUCCAGCCAUACCGCGUGGGUGAAGAAGGCCUUCGGGUUGUAAAGCCCUUUUGUUGGGAAAGAAAAGCAGCAGGUUAAUACCCCGCUGUUCUGACGGUACCCAAAGAAUAAGCACCGGCUAACUUCGUG